UACGUAGGUGGCGAGCGUUGUCCGGAUUUACUGGGCGUAAAGGGCGUGCAGGCGGUUUGUUAAGUGCAGGUGAAAGCGUCCCGGCUCAACUGGGAGAGGUCCUUGCAUACUGGCGAACUCGAGGGAGGCAGAGGAAAGUGGAAUUCCGGUGUAGUGGUGAUAUGCGUAGAUAUCAGGAGGAACACCAAUUGCGAAGGCAGCUCGCUGGGACGUUACUGACGCUGAGACGCGAAGCGUGGGGAGCAAACAGG
RNAcentral lists this ribosomal RNA (251 nucleotides) under uncultured bacterium. RNAcentral describes it as "partial 16S ribosomal RNA". It matches the Rfam family "Bacterial small subunit ribosomal RNA", at positions 524 to 776 of the family's 1533-position model. The record is from RNAcentral.